GAUCCUGGCUCAGGACGAACGCUGGCGGCGCGCCUAACACAUGCAAGUCGAACGGAGCUUAGAGAGCUUGCUUUUUUAAGCUUAGUGGCGAACGGGUGAGUAACGCGUGAGUAACCUGCCCUAGAGUGGGGGACAACAGUUGGAAACGACUGCUAAUACCGCAUAAGCCCACGGUACCGCAUGGUACCUGAGGGAAAAGGAUUUAUUCGCUUUAGGAUGGACUCGCGUCCAAUUAGCUAGUUGGUGAGGUAACGG
This 255-nucleotide ribosomal RNA is filed under the name uncultured bacterium. Its description in RNAcentral is "partial 16S ribosomal RNA". It matches the Rfam family "Bacterial small subunit ribosomal RNA", at positions 15 to 263 of the family's 1533-position model. The record is from RNAcentral.